UACGUAGGGGGCUAGCGUUGUCCGGAAUCAUUGGGCGUAAAGCGCGUGUAGGCGGUCCGGUAAGUCCGCUGUGAAAGUCGGGGGCUCAACCCUCGAAAGCCGGUGGAUACUGUCGGGCUCGAGUACGGAAGAGGCGAGUGGAAUUCCUGGUGUAGCGGUGAAAUGCGCAGAUAUCAGGAGGAACACCAAUUGCGAAGGCAGCUCGCUGGGACGUUACUGACGCUGAGACGCGAAAGCGUGGGGAGCAAACAGG
RNAcentral lists this ribosomal RNA (253 nucleotides) under uncultured bacterium. RNAcentral describes it as "partial 16S ribosomal RNA". It matches the Rfam family "Bacterial small subunit ribosomal RNA", at positions 524 to 776 of the family's 1533-position model. The record is from RNAcentral.